RNAcentral lists this transfer RNA (23 nucleotides) under Hepatica nobilis f. pubescens. RNAcentral describes it as "Anemone hepatica var. pubescens partial transfer RNA-Phe". Lineage: Eukaryota; Viridiplantae; Streptophyta; Magnoliopsida; Ranunculales; Ranunculaceae. The record is from RNAcentral.
GUCGGGAUAGCUCAGUGUAGCAA